UUUAUUUUCGAUUCUGUUACUAAGUAAUUCAUCUCCAUUCAAGUUCUUCAUUCACUUUCGUUUAUGUUCAAUUUUAGUCUUCCAUCAGGUUUACUCACUAAAAUUUGUUUCAUGGUCGAUUUAUUUCACUGAUUCAUCAUCUUUUUUAAUUUCGUUUUUUUCUUCUUCAUCAAAUAUGGUUCAAAUCCUUUAUGUGAUCA
RNAcentral lists this long non-coding RNA (200 nucleotides) under Lathyrus oleraceus (garden pea). RNAcentral's name for it is "Pisum sativum (pea) long non-coding RNA (PSAT_LNC019355)". Lineage: Eukaryota; Viridiplantae; Streptophyta; Magnoliopsida; Fabales; Fabaceae. The record is from RNAcentral.